UUGCAUAUCAAAAAGCGGAGGAAAAGAAACCAACAGGGAUUGCUCUAGUAACGGCGAGUGAAGCGGCAACAGCUCAAAUUUGAAAUCUGGCUCUUUCAGAGUCCGAGUUGUAAUUUGCAGAGGGCGCUUUGGCUUUGGCAGCGGUCCAAGUUCCUUGGAACAGGACGUCACAGAGGGUGAGAAUCCCGUACGUGGUCGCUAGCUAUUGCCGUGUAAAGCCCCUUCGACGAGUCGAGUUGUUUGGGAAUGCAGCUCUAAAUGGGAGGUAAAUUUCUUCUAAAGCUAAAUAUUGGCCAGAGACCGAUAGCGCACAAGUAGAGUGAUCGAAAGAUGAAAAGCACUUUGGAAAGAGAGUCAAACAGCACGUGAAAUUGUUGAAAGGGAAGCGCUUGCAGCCAGACUUGCUUGCAGUUGCUCAUCCGGGCUUUUGCCCGGUGCACUCUUCUGUAGGCAGGCCAGCAUCAGUUUGGGCGGUGGGAUAAAGGUCUCUGUCACGUACCUCUCUUCGGGGAGGCCUUAUAGGGGAGACGACAUACCACCAGCCUAGACUGAGGUCCGCGCAUCUGCUAGGAUGCUGGCGUAAUGGCUGUAAGCGGCCCGUCUUGAACCACGGACCAC
RNAcentral lists this ribosomal RNA (618 nucleotides) under Bipolaris cynodontis. RNAcentral describes it as "partial large subunit ribosomal RNA". It matches the Rfam family "Eukaryotic large subunit ribosomal RNA", at positions 36 to 669 of the family's 3401-position model. Lineage: Eukaryota; Fungi; Ascomycota; Dothideomycetes; Pleosporales; Pleosporaceae. The record is from RNAcentral.